GUGAAUUUACCACCGGAAACUUACCUUUCAAACCUUUAUCCACAUCAGAGUAACAUAAAGUUAUCUUCCAUGCUCAAAGCCAUUGAGCCGAGGCUGCUCCUCAUUUCGAAAGCCUCUGAGUCUAUGCCUGCCAUUAGCUCCACAGUCAACAUCUCUGCUUCCCUGGACUUCAUAUAUUCACUCAAUACUCUAACUGAUGCCCAGACUGGCCUUCAUUUCCUGGCCAUAAGAAAAUGCUUGAUUAAUAUAGACAAAAUCUCCAUAUCCUUGUUGACC
RNAcentral lists this long non-coding RNA (276 nucleotides) under Mus spicilegus (steppe mouse). RNAcentral's name for it is "lncRNA (ENSMSIG00000000025.1)". Lineage: Eukaryota; Metazoa; Chordata; Mammalia; Rodentia; Muridae. The record is from RNAcentral.